This 460-nucleotide ribosomal RNA is filed under the name uncultured bacterium. Its description in RNAcentral is "partial 16S ribosomal RNA". It matches the Rfam family "Bacterial small subunit ribosomal RNA", at positions 338 to 795 of the family's 1533-position model. The record is from RNAcentral.
CCUACGGGGGGCAGCAGUGAGGAAUAUUGGUCAAUGGACGGAAGUCUGAACCAGCCAUGCAGCGUGCAGGAAGACGGCUCUAUGAGUUGUAAACUGCUUUUGUACAAGGGUAAACCUGAAUACGUGUAUUCAGCUGAAAGUACUGUACGAAUAAGGAUCGGCUAACUCCGUGCCAGCAGCCGCGGUAAUACGGAGGAUCCAAGCGUUAUCCGGAUUUAUUGGGUUUAAAGGGUGCGUAGGCGGAUUGAUAAGUUAGAGGUGAAAUGUCCGAGCUUAACUCGGGAACUGCCUCUAAUACUGUUGAUCUAGAGAGUAGAUGCGGUAGGCGGAAUGUAUGGUGUAGCGGUGAAAGGCUUAGAGAUCAUACAGAACACCGAUUGCGAAGGCAGCUUACCAAUCUAUAUCUGACGUUGAGGCACGAAAGCGUGGGGAGCAAACAGGAUUAGAUACCCUUGUAGUC